This 261-nucleotide ribosomal RNA is filed under the name uncultured archaeon. RNAcentral's name for it is "partial 16S ribosomal RNA". It matches the Rfam family "Archaeal small subunit ribosomal RNA", at positions 748 to 1008 of the family's 1478-position model. The record is from RNAcentral.
AGGGUGUAAACGCUGCAGACUUGGUGUUGGGAACCCUUCGGGGUGCUCAGUGCCGGAGAGAAGUUGUUAAGUCUGCUACUUGGGGAGUACGUCCGCAAGGACGAAACUUAAAGGAAUUGGCGGGGGAGCACCGCAACGGGAGGAGCGUGCGGUUUAAUUGGAUUCAGCGCCGAAAAACUCACCAGCAGCGACUGUUACAUGAAACCCAGACUAAUGAUCUUGGUUGAUUUUUCAGAGAGGUGGUGCAUGGCGUCAGUGACU